This 571-nucleotide long non-coding RNA is filed under the name Homo sapiens (human). RNAcentral's name for it is "non-protein coding lnc-ITGA2-5:1". Lineage: Eukaryota; Metazoa; Chordata; Mammalia; Primates; Hominidae. The record is from RNAcentral.
AUGGUUUACUAUUCACUUGACCCAGAACAACCCAAAAAAUCAUUCAAAUCAAGAGAUUGAAAUCUUCGUGUUCACUUUAAGAACAUCCAUGAAGCUACCCAGGCAAUCAAGGGUUAUGUAUAUCUGAAAAGCCACCAAGUAUCUGAAAGAUGUGACUUUACAGAAGCAGUGUGUGCCGUUCCAUCAUUGCAAUGGUGGAGCUGGUAGAUGUGUCCAAAGCCAAACCGUGGAGCUGGACAGAGGGUUUAUGGCCCCAAAAGAGUGCUGAAAGUUUGUUGCACAUGCAUACAAAUGUAAAAAGCAGUGCUGAUCUUAAAGGUUUGUAUGUAGAGUCUCUUGAUCAUUGUGUACAUCUAGGUGGGCGAAGCACCCAAGAUACACUGGCUCUGUUUACAGGGCUCAUGGUCAGAUUAACCCAUACGUGACCUCCACCCCCACUAUCGCACCCACCGCACUGAAAUGAUGCUUACUGAAAUAGAACAAAUUUUUCUAAGCCAGAGGAGGAGGUUGCAUAGAAGAAAAAGGUAUUCCAGAAGAAACCGAAGAAACAAAAAUAAUGACCCAGGAAUAA